This 253-nucleotide ribosomal RNA is filed under the name uncultured bacterium. RNAcentral describes it as "partial 16S ribosomal RNA". It matches the Rfam family "Bacterial small subunit ribosomal RNA", at positions 524 to 776 of the family's 1533-position model. The record is from RNAcentral.
UACGUAGGGGGCAAGCGUUGUCCGGAAUCAUUGGGCGUAAAGAGCGUGUAGGCGGCUUGGCAAGUCUGACGUGAAAGCCCGCGGCUCAACCGCGGAUUGUCGUUGGAAACUGCCAGGCUAGAGUCCGGAAGAGGAGAGCGGAAUUCCUGGUGUAGCGGUGGAAUGCGCAGAUAUCAGGAAGAACACCCGUGGCGAAGGCGGCUCUCUGGGACGGUACUGACGCUGAGACGCGAAAGCGUGGGGAGCGAACAGG